Molecule: long non-coding RNA, 1112 nt
Filed under: Felis catus (domestic cat)
Lineage: Eukaryota; Metazoa; Chordata; Mammalia; Carnivora; Felidae
Description: lncRNA (ENSFCAG00000053303.1)
Source: RNAcentral
UCCGGACAACUUAUUCGGGACAGCUGACUGUAUGUAAGACAAGAUAAUCUCGAUGCGCUUACCGGAAGUCUGAUUUAGGCUUUUAGCCAUGUCUACGGUUUAGAAUGCUUUCCCACCAAAACUGUUCUCCUGCCAAUCAAAUUCAACAAAUAUUGACUGACCGGCUACUGUGUGCUGAGCGCCGUGGGGGAGACAGAGCUCUCCGGCACCCUAAUCACCGGCUCCUUCCGUCAUAAGACAAGCCCAGAAAUCUACGCCAAGUGCCAUUUUAGUUUCCAAAAAAAAAAAAAAAUGCUGAUGGAGAGGGAACACCGACCGAGUCACGGCUCCAGCAGAGCGGUGGGGGGUCACAAGACCUGGAGAAUCUCAUUUCAAAGCGCUUCUUAAGUGGAUUUUGGAUUUGAUUGCAUCCGGGCAUUCUUCACAGCUCUGAAUGGUUUUGAAAUGGAUUAGAAGCAAGUGGAAGUUGAAGGCCGAAAUGCAAAUCCCAAGCCGAAUCAGAAAUGGAUUAAAGUGAGCUUUCCCCUAUGCAAAUGACCCUGGGCGCUCUGAAGCGUGCCCAGCUCUGGAAACUGUCCGAGCCAGGCUGGACUUCUGACCUACGGUCACGCUGUGCCAGACUGAUGCCAACACCCAAGGCCAUGCUUCUUGGAGUUUCUCAACAAAUAUGUUUAAUGCCGGUGAAAGGAGGAAGGUGAGUGCAUACAUUUAACCUGCUUUGAAGAGGUUACUAAACCCCAGCUUCGUCAUCCUGCAUUAUCCUCAUAAAAUUGGCAUAUGAACACCUGCCCCACAGAGAUGCCCAACUACAGUCUUCUUAUAUUUUUAAGCUGUCUUUUAUCUUAUCUUUAUCAGAUAAAACACCUACUAUCAGGCCGCCUGGGUGGCUCAGCCGGUUAAGGGUUAAGCAUCUGACUUGAUUUAGGUUCAGGUCAUGAUGUCAUAGUCGUGGGAUUGAGCCCCAUGUCGGGCUCUGCAGUGACAGUGCAGAGCCUGCUUGGGAUUCUGUCUCUUCCUUUCUCUCUGGCCCUCCCCUGUUCGUGCUCUCUCUCUCUCUCUCUCUCUGCCUCCCCUCAAAAUAAAUAAAUAAACAUUAAGAAAAAAGAUAAACA